Molecule: long non-coding RNA, 269 nt
Organism: Oncorhynchus keta (chum salmon)
Lineage: Eukaryota; Metazoa; Chordata; Actinopteri; Salmoniformes; Salmonidae
Exons: 3
Source: RefSeq, a predicted model, not a curated record
CUAGGCACUAGGCAGUGAGUACUGGUAUGGUGAGGUAUACUAGACACUAGGCAGUGAGUACUGAUAUGGUGAGGUAUACUAGACACUAGGUAGUGAGUACUGAUAUGGGGAGGUAAACUAGACACUAGGCAGUGAGUGCUGAUAUGGUGAGGUAAACUAGGCACUAGGCAGUGAGUACUGAUAUGGUGAGGUAUACCAGACACUAGGCAGUGAGUACUGAUAUGGUGAGGUAUACUAGAAGCUAGGUAGUGAGUACUGAUAUGGGGAGG